This 117-nucleotide ribosomal RNA is filed under the name Tachinidae sp. CH-2014. RNAcentral's name for it is "partial 16S ribosomal RNA". The record is from RNAcentral. RNAcentral also lists the same sequence under 1 other name. Lineage: Eukaryota; Metazoa; Arthropoda; Insecta; Diptera; Tachinidae.
AAGAAUUUAAAAGUCGAACAGACUUAAAAUUUAAGCGGCUACACCUAAAAUUAUAUCUUAAUCCAACAUCGAGGUCGCAAUCUUUUUUAUCGAUAUGAACUCUCCAAAAAAAUUACG